This 73-nucleotide transfer RNA is filed under the name Chlamydia psittaci RD1. RNAcentral's name for it is "tRNA Thr anticodon CGT, Cove score 76.52". It matches the Rfam family "tRNA". Rfam says of the family: Transfer RNA (tRNA) molecules are approximately 80 nucleotides in length. Their secondary structure includes four short double-helical elements and three loops (D, anti-codon, and T loops). Further hydrogen bonds mediate the characteristic L-shaped molecular structure. tRNAs have two regions of fundamental functional importance: the anti-codon, which is responsible for specific mRNA codon recognition, and the 3' end, to which the tRNAs corresponding amino acid is attached (by aminoacyl-tRNA synthetases). tRNAs cope with the degeneracy of the genetic code in two manners: having more than one tRNA (with a specific anti-codon) for a particular amino acid; and 'wobble' base-pairing, i.e. permitting non-standard base-pairing at the 3rd anti-codon position. RNAcentral also lists the same sequence under 1 other name. Lineage: Bacteria; Pseudomonadati; Chlamydiota; Chlamydiia; Chlamydiales; Chlamydiaceae. The record is from RNAcentral.
UGCCUAAAUAGCUCAGUUGGUAGAGCAACGCAUUCGUAACGCGUAGGUCGUCGGUUCGAUCCCGGCUUUGGGC